Molecule: ribosomal RNA, 392 nt
Filed under: uncultured bacterium
Lineage: Bacteria
Description: partial 16S ribosomal RNA
Rfam family: Bacterial small subunit ribosomal RNA
Source: RNAcentral
AUACGGAGGAUCCGAGCGUUAUCCGGAUUUAUUGGGUUUAAAGGGUGCGCAGGCGGCCAUUUAAGUCAGCGGUUAAAUCGUGGGGCUCAACCCCAUUCUGCCGUUGAUACUGGGUGGCUUGAUUGCGGUCGAGGUUGGCGGAAUUCGUUGUGUAGCGGUGAAAUGCAUAGAUAUGACGAAGAACACCGAUUGCGUAGGCAGCUGACCAGACCGCAAAUGACGCUCAUGCACGAAAGUGCGGGGAUCGAACAGGAUUAGGUACCCUGGUAGUCCGCACAGUAAACGAUGAAUACUUGUUUUCGGCGAUAUAAUGUCGGAGGCAAAGCGAAAGCGAUAAGUAUUCCACCUGGGGAGUACGCCGGCAACGGUGAAACUCAAAUGAAUUGGCGGGG